AAUCCUUUGAGAGGCAAAAAUAUUCAGACUCUCGUAGCAGUGUUCUGGAAUCCUACGUGAGGGACAAACACUCAGAACCCAGCAGCAGUAUUCUGGAAUCCUAUGUGGGGGACAAACAUUCAGACCCUCUUAGCAGUGUUCUGGAAUCCUAUGUGAGGGACAAACAUUGAGACCCUCUUAGCAGUGUUCUUGAAUCCUACAUGAGGGAAAAACAUUCAGACCCUCAUAACAUUGUUCUGGAAUC
This 244-nucleotide long non-coding RNA is filed under the name Homo sapiens (human). Its description in RNAcentral is "HSALNT0393242". Lineage: Eukaryota; Metazoa; Chordata; Mammalia; Primates; Hominidae. The record is from RNAcentral.